GCGGGCCCUACAACUUGCAAGUUCGAACGGUAGCACAGAGAGCUUGCUCUCGGGUGACGAGUGGCGGACGGGUGAGUAAUGUCUGGGAAACUGCCUGAUGGAGGGGGAUAACUACUGGAAACGGUAGCUAAUACCGCAUAACGUCGCAAGACCAAAGUGGGGGACCUUCGGGCCUCUUGCCAUCGGAUGUGCCCAGAUGGGAUUAGCUUGUAGGUGAGGUAACGGCUCACCUAGGCGACGAUCCCUAGCUGGUCUGAGAGGAUGACCAGCCACACUGGAACUGAUACACGGUCCAGACUCCUACGGGAGGCAGCAGUGGGGAAUAUUGCACAAUGGGCGCAAG
This 343-nucleotide ribosomal RNA is filed under the name Klebsiella oxytoca. Its description in RNAcentral is "bacterial SSU rRNA". It matches the Rfam family "Bacterial small subunit ribosomal RNA", at positions 42 to 381 of the family's 1533-position model. Lineage: Bacteria; Pseudomonadati; Pseudomonadota; Gammaproteobacteria; Enterobacterales; Enterobacteriaceae. The record is from RNAcentral.